GGAUUUAUAAGCUCACAAUGGCAAAAGCACUCAUUCAAUGAGAGGUUGAUGGUUCGAAUCCAUCUAGAUCUA
Thalictrum thalictroides is the source of this 72-nucleotide non-coding RNA. The record is from the annotation of a GenBank genome assembly. NCBI's taxonomy places the organism in Eukaryota, Viridiplantae, Streptophyta, Magnoliopsida, Ranunculales, Ranunculaceae.